AUACGUAGGUGACAAGCGUUAUCCGGAUUUACUGGGCGUAAAGGGCGUGUAGGCGGUCUUGCAAGUCAGAAGUGAAAUUCCUGAGCUCAACUCGGGCGCUGCUUCUGAAACUGCAGGACUUGAGUGCUGGAGGGGAUAGCGGAAUUCCUAGUGGAGCGGUAAAAUGCGCAGAUAUUAGGAAGAACACCGGUGGCGAAGGCGGCUAUCUGGACAGUAACUGACGCUGAGGCGCGAAAGCGUGGGGAGCAAACAGGAUUAGAUACCCUGGUAGUCCACACUGUAAACGAUGAAUGCUAGGUGUAAGAGGUAUCGACCCCUUUUGUGCCGGAGUUAACACAAUAAGCAUUCCGCCUGGGGAGUACGGCCGCAAGGUUGAAACUCAAAUGAAUUGACGGGG
RNAcentral lists this ribosomal RNA (397 nucleotides) under uncultured bacterium. RNAcentral describes it as "partial 16S ribosomal RNA". It matches the Rfam family "Bacterial small subunit ribosomal RNA", at positions 523 to 918 of the family's 1533-position model. The record is from RNAcentral.